AUUUGUAUCACUCGAGAGGAAGCUUGUUCAUCUUAAGAAACUUGUACUCUCUAUAGACAUAAGGCUUGAACUUUGGAGCAUCAUCAACAACUAGCUCCGGCAAAGGUCCGACCACGUGAUCAAGGUUCGGUUCCGCGAAAACCGGCCAAGAGAGUCUCGUCCUCACCAUAUCCAUCGUCGCUCUAUGCUCUCCACUCUUAUACCUCCCAUUGCUCAUCCUCUACAAAACUCACAUUAUUUUUGAAAACUAUUGUAUAAAAUGUUAUUAAAUUUAGAUAGAAACAUAUAAAUUAAAACUUCCUUAAAUAUAUCUUUUAUUAAAAAGAUAUUAGACCAUUAAUUUCAUGGACCGUGCACAUAGCUAAGCAGGCCUUGUACACAUCCCCAACAAUCAAAACCAAACAAACAUGACUUAUCUGAAAAUGUUCAAAACUGUAUCUCUACCUUGAUUUGGUCGGCGAUGAUGACAACGAUCCCUGAGUCAUCAUACUUGACGUCGACCCACUUGUUGUCCUGGUACGCCUGAAGUCCGUCUACCUCAUCAGCGAUCAAGAACGUGAUUCCAUUGAGAUCAUUAAUAUAUAUGAGGAUAAUUAAUAACAAAAAAAAAACUUUUUCACCAUUGACCAAAUUAACAAAAGUAAUUAAUGUUGUUGGCCGACAAACCAUAUUUUUGAUUAACAUGAAUAUUUAGGAAAUCUUCAAAAGCAUCAAUUUUCUAUUAUUUAUAUGAACUUUAGAAUCAUAUAAUCCAUAUUUCCUUUUGGUUUUUGUUCCUUUUGCAUUUUACGUAGAAAAUAGUAACUCUUCUGCUUUCUUUAUACAGAAAUUCUUGGGUUCACCCCCUAUGGUGAACCUUUAGGUUCACCAACCAAUAGUGUUUGAGUAUUUGAUAUUUGAUAUCUUUUAAAAAAGGAAACAACAUUAAAUUUCCAAAUAAGAUUAUCUUUCUAAAAUAAAACAAUAAAAAUACAUAAAAAUAGUUACAAAAAAUAAAUAAAUAAAUAUUUUUAAGUUUUCAGCAAAAUACUAAACCCUAUAUCCUAAAUCUUAAACCCUAAACCCUAAACCUUAAACUUUGGAUAAACUCUAAACGUUUGAAAAUCCUAAACCCUAAAUCAUACAUUAAAAACUAAAUUUUAAUAACACUAAACCCUAAAUCCUAAUCACUAAACCCUAAACCCUUGGGUAAACCCUGAACCCUUGGAUAAAUCAUCAUAAAUCAUAAACUGUAAAUCAAAAAUAUUUAAAAUUAAACUCUAGAGAUUAUGAUUUAUCCAAGGGUUCAGGGUUUACCCAAGGGUUUAGGGUUUAGUGAUUAGAAUUUAGGGUUUAGUGUUAUUAAAAUUUAGUUUUUAAUGUAUGAUUUAGGGUUUAGGAUUUUCAAACGUUUAGAGUUUAUCCAAAGUUUAAGGUUUAGGGUUUAGGGUUUAAGAUUUAGGGUAUAGGGUUUAGUAUUUUGCUGAAGACUUAAAAAUAUUUAUUUAUUUAUUUUUUGUAACUAUUUUUAUGUAUUUUUAUUGUUUUAUUUUAAAAAGAUAAUCUUAUUUGGAAAUUUAAUGUUGUUUCCUUUUUUAAAAGAUAUCAAAUAUCAAAUACUCAAAUACUAUUGGUUGGUGAACCUAUAGGUUCACCCUAGGGGGUGAACCCAAGAAUUACUCUUAAUUAACAGAAACUUCCAACAUCAAUUAACUGAAACAGUCGUUCAUUGAGAUUAGCGUCAGUCGAUAGGAAGCUUGUUCAUCUUAAGAUACUUGUACUCUCUGUAGACAUAAGGCUUAAACUUAGGAGCAUCGUCAAUAACUAGCUCCGCCAAAGGUCCGACGACAUGAUCAAGGUUCGGUUCCGCGAACACCGGCCACGAGAGUCUCGUCCUUACCGUAUCCAUCGUCACUCUAUGCUCCCCACUCUUAUACCUCCCAUUGCUCAUCCUCU
RNAcentral lists this long non-coding RNA (1935 nucleotides) under Brassica napus (rape). Its description in RNAcentral is "long non-coding RNA (BNAP_LNC001871)". The record is from RNAcentral. Lineage: Eukaryota; Viridiplantae; Streptophyta; Magnoliopsida; Brassicales; Brassicaceae.